This is a long non-coding RNA of Agrilus planipennis (emerald ash borer), 1426 nucleotides long. RefSeq lists it as uncharacterized. The record is from RefSeq and is a predicted model, not a curated record. The transcript has 2 exons. Lineage: Eukaryota; Metazoa; Arthropoda; Insecta; Coleoptera; Buprestidae.
UGGUCACUUAACUUCGCGAGCUUUCAGUUUUUCUCCAUAAAUAUAGAUUUAGCGAGUUUUCCAACGUAUAGCUACCUAGUUUAUAGUUAAUUUAUCUAUCAAACAGAAUCGUGCACAAAUUUAAUGAUAAACAACGGCAACUGCAACAUAAAAUUUCAUAGCCUCCGUAUAAUAACACGGCUUGAUGUGAACAUGAAAACUAAGCAUUUAUUAACCGAAAUUACAUACCUACGUACCUACAAUAAAUGAAAGUACGUUAUUAUAAACAUGCUGACAGGCAAAAUAACGCAUCAAAACAGAUACGUGUAUUUAUUUAAAAUAAAUGUAUCAUUGCUCUUCUUUUGUUUGUAAUAGUUUUGUAGUUUACUGUUUAUCGUUAAUUGUUAUUAUUCUUCAACACAAUCAGGAAUGGAAUUCAAAGAACUCGAGAAACGCACGAUAUUCAUUCUGAUCGCCGUUCGGUGCGUCCCCGGUCGUCAACAACGUCGUUAACUCGAAUACGAGCGAAAGGCUGCUCAGCUUUAGGUGGCUCGGUGACCCACCAGGAAAAGACUCGACAGUUUGUCGUGGACUCGAGGAAUGCGUCCGUUGUUCUUGGAUAUUAACGCGCGAAACGAGCUGUGUUCAAGUUAUUUAUUAAUAAUAAAAAAAAAGGGAAUUGUCGUCAACACGUGCUGUUGUGAGUUAAAUUAUUAUUGUGCGACUGACUCACUGCUUGCAUACUUAGGGUAAUAAUGUAAAGUGCUUCGAACUGCAGCAAAUGAAACUAACUAGAAUAUCGUUAGAUAAAUUAACGAUAAGUAUUAAAAUGCAAUCAGAAAGGUGCCGUGUUUGUUUUUAUGGAUAAGUAAAACUGUUGGACAUCACGAUUAGGAAAAUGUGAGCUAUUUUAUGGGCGCCCACAAUCCUACCUGUUGCUAUUAAGUUUUCCACUGCGAAAAUUAAUGGUGGCAAUAGUCCUAAAAAUUCGAGUCAUUAUUAUCGUUGGAGAUGAUUUUUCCGAAGAAAAUUAAUGGAAAUUCGAAUUACAGAGACAAUUUAAAAUGCCACAUCCGCACUCGAAUGUCGAGUUAGAGAAAAAUUCGACAAAACUAAAUGAAUGGGUAUUUUAAUUGAGGAAAAAAAUAUUCGAGCUAGAAAAGUUUCGAGACGCUUAAUUGUAUUUUCGUUUUAGUUAUGUAAUUAUAAAUCCUAAUGCGGUUUGAAAUAUGCUGUACAAAUACAAAAAACUAAAACUUUUUAACUAAAAUUACAUAUGUAUGUUUACAAGGUGAGAUUAAUACCAUAUGGAAAAAGUGAAGGCCAGAUGAAGUGAUCCUCGACAGUACGUGUGGUAGUUAUAGUUACAGUAGUCAAACUGAAUAUAAAUACAUUUUUGUCAUAGACGUUAUUUAUAUGUAUAAUGUGCAAUAAAUUAUUAUAUUCA